GUCUUCUUGGUUUUAUUUGAAGUCUGGCCUGCCCACUGAUGUUUGAAGGGCCGCGGUAUUUUGACCGUGCAAAGGUAGCAUAAUCAUUAGUCUUUUAAUUGAAGGCUGGAAUGAAGGGUUGGACGAGGUAUAAGCUGUCUUGUUUAAAUUGUUAGUUGAAUUUAAUUUUUAAGUUAAAAAGCUUAAAUUUUUUUGGAGGACGAGAAGACCCUAUAGAGCUUUAUAGAAUUAUUAAUAAGUAAUUUGUGGUUGUUUUGUUAUUUAUUAUUUCGGUUUUAUUUUGUUGGGGUGACAGGAAAAUUAGAUUAACUUUUUUAUUUUAUUUACAUUGAUUUAUGAGUUGUUGAUCCAUUACUAGUGAUUAUAAGAUUAAGUUACCUUAGGGAUAACAGCGUAAUUUUCUUUGAGAGUUCUUAUCGACAGGAAAGAUUGCGACCUCGAUGUUGGAUUAAGGAUAAUUUUUGGUGUAGAAGUUGAAAUAUUAGGUCUGUUCGACCUUUAAAUCCUUACA
Molecule: ribosomal RNA, 511 nt
Filed under: Galloisiana yuasai
Lineage: Eukaryota; Metazoa; Arthropoda; Insecta; Grylloblattodea; Grylloblattidae
Description: partial 16S ribosomal RNA
Rfam family: Bacterial large subunit ribosomal RNA
Source: RNAcentral